Long non-coding RNA from Cyclopterus lumpus (lumpfish), 206 nucleotides. RefSeq lists it as uncharacterized. The transcript has 3 exons. The record is from RefSeq and is a predicted model, not a curated record. NCBI's taxonomy places the organism in Eukaryota, Metazoa, Chordata, Actinopteri, Perciformes, Cyclopteridae.
GAGAGGAAACGCAUGCUGCAGGAAGCAGAAGGAGGAGAUAUGUGUGUGACAUGUUUGGGGACGGAGGACCCAGGUCCUGCGGUGGAGCGAUUGAAUGACAGAGAUUACCUGUUCGGAAAGCCCCAAACCUGAUUAACUGGACUGAAGUGGAUUGAGUGGAGAGCCAUGGGUCAAGGGGUCUCAACCGAGCGUCGACUUCCACAUCU